GUGGGGAAUUUUGGACAAUGGGCGCAAGCCUGAUCCAGCAAUGCCGCGUGUGUGAUGAAGGCCUUCGGGUUGUAAAGCACUUUUGGUAGGAACGAAACGGUCCGGGCUAAUACCCUGGACUAAUGACGGUACCUGCAGAAUAAGCACCGGCUAACUACGUGCCAGCAGCCGCGGUAAUACGUAGGGUGCAAGCGUUAAUCGGAAUUACUGGGCGUAAAGCGUGCGCAGGCGGGUUUGCAAGACCGAUGUGAAAUCCCCGGGCUCAACCUGGGAACGGCAUUGGUGACUGCAAGGCUAGAGUGUGUCAGAGGGAGGUGGAAUUCCGCGUGUAGCAGUGAAAUGCGUAGAUAUGCGGAGGAACACCGAUGGCGAAGGCAGCCUCCUGGGAUAACACUGACGCUCAUGCACGAAAGCGUGGGGAGCAAACAGGAUUAGAUACCCCGGUAGUCC
RNAcentral lists this ribosomal RNA (450 nucleotides) under uncultured bacterium. RNAcentral's name for it is "partial 16S ribosomal RNA". It matches the Rfam family "Bacterial small subunit ribosomal RNA", at positions 354 to 796 of the family's 1533-position model. The record is from RNAcentral.